CCUAACCACAAUCCAGUCUGCUCUUCUUAGAUAAACAUCGAUCAGACCAUAAAGGUUGGGGACCACACGGUCCUUUAGUUCCUGCCUUUUCCUCCCAGGAAUAAAAAAAAAGAAUUUUUGGCAUCCCGGUGUGAAGAGGAAGACUCCAUGGGACAAGACAAAGAAGUUCUCAUAAGCAGGAAAUGUUUGAUUCCCGGAGUCAUUAGCAGAACUCUGGUCAGAGGCAUCAGCAUCUUUAAGCAGAACUGAAGAUUCAGUUGUAAAGGGCUAGUGCAGGAAUGCUACAUCAGGUAUUCAGGCACAGAAGACCAUCUCACUUCCAAGUCUCUAGCAGCCUCCUCUCAAACUGCAUGUUACUUAUGAAGCACAAAUCUUCUUUAGAGAUGAUGCUGUUCUUUCUGGUUCAAGGCUAAUGUGACAAUGGCUAGAUGAUUUGCAUAAACUACUUUGAGCUCCCUGGGAAAGUGGAAAAAGCACUAUGUAAAAACAUAC
This 492-nucleotide long non-coding RNA is filed under the name Phascolarctos cinereus (koala). RNAcentral describes it as "lncRNA (ENSPCIG00000036215.1)". Lineage: Eukaryota; Metazoa; Chordata; Mammalia; Diprotodontia; Phascolarctidae. The record is from RNAcentral.